RNAcentral lists this ribosomal RNA (253 nucleotides) under uncultured bacterium. Its description in RNAcentral is "partial 16S ribosomal RNA". It matches the Rfam family "Bacterial small subunit ribosomal RNA", at positions 524 to 776 of the family's 1533-position model. The record is from RNAcentral.
UACGGGGGGGGCAAGCGUUGUUCGGAAUUACUGGGCGUAAAGGGCUCGUAGGCGGCCAACUAAGUCAGACGUGAAAUCCCUCGGCUUAACCGGGGAACUGCGUCUGAUACUGGAUGGCUUGAGUUUGGGAGAGGGAUGCGGAAUUCCAGGUGUAGCGGUGAAAUGCGUAGAUAUCUGGAGGAACACCGGUGGCGAAGGCGGCAUCCUGGACCAACACUGACGCUGAGGUGCGAAAGCGUGGGGAGCGAACAGG